GACGAACGCUGGCGGCGUGCUUAACACAUGCAAGUCGAGCGGAAAGGCCCUUUCGGGGGUACUCGAGCGGCGAACGGGUGAGUAACACGUGAGUAAUCUGCCCCUGGCUUUGGGAUAGCCACCGGAAACGGUGAUUAAUACCGGAUACGACCACUUCUCGCAUGGGAUGGUGGUGGAAAGUUUUUCGGCCAGGGAUGUGCUCGCGGCCUAUCAGCUUGAUGGUGAGGUAAUGGCUCACCAUGGCCUCGACGGGUAGCCGGCCUGAGAGGGUGACCGGUCACACUGGGACUGAGACACGGCCCAGACUCCUACGGGAGGCAGCAGUGGGGAAUAUUGGACAAUGGGCGGAAGCCUGAUCCAGCAACGCCGCGUGAGGGAUGACGGCCUUCGGGUUGUAAACCUCUUUCAGCAGGGACGAAGCGCAAGUGACGGUACCUGCAGAAGAAGCACCGGCCAACUACGUGCCAGCAGCCGCAGUAA
This 480-nucleotide ribosomal RNA is filed under the name uncultured bacterium. RNAcentral's name for it is "partial 16S ribosomal RNA". It matches the Rfam family "Bacterial small subunit ribosomal RNA", at positions 28 to 523 of the family's 1533-position model. The record is from RNAcentral.